This 210-nucleotide ribosomal RNA is filed under the name Enterococcus sp. KT03. Its description in RNAcentral is "partial 16S ribosomal RNA". It matches the Rfam family "Bacterial small subunit ribosomal RNA", at positions 67 to 261 of the family's 1533-position model. Lineage: Bacteria; Bacillati; Bacillota; Bacilli; Lactobacillales; Enterococcaceae. The record is from RNAcentral.
UUUCCUCCCGAGUGCUUGCACUCAAUUGGAAAGAGGAGUGGCGGACGGGUGAGUAACACGUGGGUAACCUACCCAUCAGAGGGGGAUAACACUUGGAAACAGGUGCUAAUACCGCAUAACAGUUUAUGCCGCAUGGCAUAAGAGUGAAAGGCGCUUUCGGGUGUCGCUGAUGGAUGGACCCGCGGUGCAUUAGCUAGUUGGUGAGGUAAC